UGGGGAAUUUUGCACAAUGGGCGCAAGCCUGAUGCAGCGACGCCGCGUGAGGGAUGAAGGCCUUCGGGUUGUAAACCUUUUUCGCUCAUGGUCAAGCCGCAGCUUUGGGUUGUGGUGAGGGUAGUGGGUAAAGAAGCGCCGGCUAACUACGUGCCAGCAGCCGCGGUAAUACGUAGGGCGCGAGCGUUGUCCGGAAUUAUUGGGCGUAAAGGGUACGUAGGCGGGUAAGCAAGUUAGAAGUGAAAUCCUGUAGCUCAACUACAGUAAGCUUUUAAAACUGCUCAUCUUGAGAUAUGGAAGGGAAAGUGGAAUUCCUAGUGUAGCGGUGAAAUGCGCAGAUAUUAGGAGGAAUACCGGUGGCGAAGGCGACUUCCUGGCCAUAAUCUGACGCUGAGGUACGAAAGCGUGGGUAGCAAACAGG
RNAcentral lists this ribosomal RNA (421 nucleotides) under Verrucomicrobiota bacterium. Its description in RNAcentral is "Verrucomicrobia bacterium partial 16S ribosomal RNA". It matches the Rfam family "Bacterial small subunit ribosomal RNA", at positions 355 to 776 of the family's 1533-position model. The record is from RNAcentral. Lineage: Bacteria; Pseudomonadati; Verrucomicrobiota.